ACAGAAGAGGCGGCUCUGGUAUGAAGUAAGCUGAUCAAAGAUCCAGGUAAUCCAUUGUAAAAAAAAUCCAUGUUAGGAUCUAGAAUAAAAUUUUGAAUUUUUAAUAGUGUCCAAACUUCUAUUGUGACAGGACAUUCGCGAAAAAUAUGGUCGAUUGUUUCAGCCAUUUCUCCACAUCGGGGGCAGCUUGUACUACUAACAAGUUUUCGGUGCUGCAUAUUAACCCUGUCGGCAAAUAGUUCCAUGAAAUUCUCCAUACUGUAACUUUGAUUUUAUUUGGAAGAUUUAGGAGUCAAAGUUUUUUGUAAAAAUUCCUGUAAUCAAUUUGUAAAGCGUAAGCUCUAGGAAUUUCAUCAAAAGUUUGUAAUAGUUUAUAGGCACUGCAGACCGAAAACUCGCCUGAAUACGCGCCUCUUCAGACAAGUAGAUCAUUGUGAGGUGUGUAUGCUAAAGGUAUCCGGAGGAUUUUUCCAGCAUCUUCCUUUGAAAAGGUAUUCUUUAUAAGUUCUCUUUUCCAUGUUCUCUCAUUACUGUUGAUCAACUCACUAGCCUUGACAUCACACAUACAAUUAACAACUGAAGAUAAUUUAACAUUAACAGCAUCUGGAAUCCAAGCAUUAGCAUUGAUAGAAAUAUUUGUACCUGUACCAACCCUCCAACAUAUUCUUUUUUUCCAAAAUACCCUUCACUGCCCAUAUGCUUUUCCAUAUAUAAGAACUGGUUUUCCCCAAUCGAGAAUUUAAAAAAUAUUCAUUUGUGAAAUAUUUUGUUUUAAAAACUCACAUAACCAAAGAAUCUUGAUUAGUAAUAAUCCUCCACCCUUGCUUAGCUAGUAAUGAAAUAUUGAAUUGAGCUAGAUUUCUAAAGUCCAUUCUCCCUCCUCUUUUGAUCGACAUAUAAAUUUCCAUUAACACUAGUGUAUCCCUUUCCUUCCCUAUCCUUUUUGCCACCAGAAUUUAGCGAAAAUAUUUUCUAACUCCUCACAUAAUAAUUUUGGUAGGAGGAAACAUAUCAUAGCAUAAGUUGGAAUUGCUUGAAGAACAGAUUUUAUAAAGACCUCAUUUUCCC
RNAcentral lists this long non-coding RNA (1068 nucleotides) under Gossypium barbadense (sea-island cotton). RNAcentral describes it as "long non-coding RNA (GBAR_LNC009675)". Lineage: Eukaryota; Viridiplantae; Streptophyta; Magnoliopsida; Malvales; Malvaceae. The record is from RNAcentral.